GUGGACGUGAGCGUAACAUGGGAGCUUCGAUGAAUACCGAAUAGAGAUCGUAUAGAAGCUCAGAGGCUGCACCUGUCAUUCACAUAGACAGCUGCCAUUUCAGGUCUGUCUUAGGAGUGGCACACCCCAGAAAGCUCGCCUUCGUGCAUAGCGUUUGCCACCAGCAUUUCCAGGAAAACAUUACAGAAGCAUAAGCUGCAGCUGCCCGGAAGUGUGAGAAGCAGCCAGGGAUCUUUUAAUGCUAUCAUGUUCCACUCUUAAAGGCGCAGCUUAAGUGUCCUCCAACCUUUUUUUUUUUUUUGCUGUUUGGGGACUGCCUUCUUGAAGGUGUUGCUUCGUUUCCUUUCUGCUGUUGGGCGAAUGUAAUAUCUGCUUUGAACAACAGCAAAGCCACAUUUUGAUUGCACUUGAUGCUGGCUGCACUAGUGCGGCAUCUCUCCUGAACACUAUCCAACAGUUCACUAUGAUGUUAUCACUGAAAUAGAAUACACAAGACACCUUCGUGUACCACUUCAUCUACCUCGAAGUAAUAUGCCAUAGCUCUAUGAUCAUAUCCUUAACAUCCACUACUUUCUUGGAUUCAUUUCAGAUAGCUGGAAUGUACAGACUAAAAAAGCUCGGAAGCGCUUGCGCUCUUUGGAGAAUUUUGUAUGAGCAUUUUCAGGCUGUUCUGGUGACACUAAAAAAUACUGGCUCACCUGUAAUCGAGAGUGGAUGUAAGCACGAAAUGGCUGCCAACAAAGCAGAUUGAUUGUAGAUGAUACUAGCCACAAUCUUAAAAUGGGUGUAGCGUACAUUCCCAACGGCACACCCCACCCCACCCCACCGCACCACGCAACUGUACACUGGUCCAUAUGCAAGCAAGUUUCCUGUCAAAGACAGAACCCCAUUGCAAGUCUCGUUUCGGUCCACCAGAUGCGCCGUGGACCUCGCGGACUGCUGGCAUUGAAAAGAGCACUAGCAACUGUGUCUCAGUGCCAAAAAAUGACAAUCAAGUGUACAGUGCCUUGUAUCUGCCUCUGAACGUCGCUAUUAGAAGUGACCAAUAAAACUUCAGCGUACUAGAAGUUACAGCUUGAGUGAUAUUGUGAACAAAUAUUUAGAACUCGGGAGCAAUAUUUUUUGUAACAUGUUUGGGAAGUAACUAGCAUAUGUAUUGCAGUCUUGACUGUUUGCCCGGAUGAGCUGGUUUGAGUGACAGGAUAAUGACUCUGGCUUUUGGUUCAUUAAGGUGGCUGACAACAGGAGCUAAAAGCAUUUCAUGCUUAAAAUGUCUGCAGCAGCGGCACUGUUCGGUUAGUCAAGGACCUCAUUUCAUGGCCCUCAUUCUGACACCUUCGAACACUGUUUCUGCCUUUGUAACGCUUCCUAGAAUUUAUCCUUCAAAUUCUUAUGUGAAAGAACCAUGCAUCAAUUUUGGCGUAUUUCUCAAACUGUACGAGCAGAAUUGCUGCUGAUUUCAUAAAUACAACCUAUAAAUCAAUACAGCAGAAUUGUUAGUUGAAAUAUGUAAUCCAAAUCAAGGAGCCAUUCUCAAGACGAUGUUCCCGCUGGCACUGAUGCGUGGCAUUCCUGGCGUUGGUGAAACCUUUAUUCUACAUGAUAAAGCAUGAAACAUUCACACGUGCUCUUCUUUGCUUCUUUUUUGAGCUUUGCUGUUUCAAGGAGCUUUGCCCUUUGAGUGGCAGCAGCCUGAUUGACAUAGCUUCUGACUCACAUAUUUAACAUUUUUGCACAGAUUGGUCAAGGAGUAGCCAGAUUUUGAGACGUACAUCUUUAGCAGAGUCUAUAGGUGCUGGCUUUUGGUGUGGAGAGACAAGCAGCUUCAUAGCUUCCCUCCUGUCUCUUGUCAUUGUGUCAGCAAACUGAAAUGAAAACUCUCGAAACAGUAUAUUUGCUAAUGAGGAAUCUUUGCAAGGCACAUUGUGAAGCGCAUGCCGAUGAAUUGCUUCAACCUUUUACAUUAAACAAAUUAUGCCAUGUGCUGUCGAGAGGCAAAUAAAGCUGUUCGCUUUAAAAAUUAACAAUAAUAUCCGCAGUUUGUGAAGUGAUUGAGAUAUUGUUACGCAGUACCUUCAACAAAGAUGUUAUGGGAAACAGUGCAAGGAACUAGCAUACUUGCACUAAUUGCAGGUAUUUGGCGGAGUUGUAUGGGAGACAAGAUAGCCAACCAAUUUUCCUCUAAUGCAUGUGAGCUUUGUCAUCCUCAUGGUGUAAUGUAAUCGUUUCAGGUAGCGGAUAAAGAAUGUGUGGCAACAUGAAAUGGCCUUUGACGACACAGGCGAGUAGUGGAUGCCACACUUCAGUUCUAAUUAAAGUUACAUCAGCACAGAGCUUGUAUGCUACGACCAAGUUGGGUCCAUACUUUGGAUUACUGUGUACAGUGUCACUCUCUUCAGCAUUGCAGAAGAUGGAAGCCAGUGUUUCUUUGCCGUUGCCAUUUCAAUUUAGUAUAUUUUCAUGUUUUCAUGCUCUGCAAGAUACAGCCAGAGGUUGCACGGUCUUGAAAUGAAGCCUACUUUUUGUGUUUUCAAGAUAAAGUUUUAGCUAUAAUAAACGGAAUUUCCAAAAAACAAAUAUUAUGUUUGGCCUGCCUUCUUUUGGGUGAUCAGACAUGGGAGCCAUUGAGGCAUCAUGGCUCAUACGUGCUCCAUUUAUGCUUGAGAGGUGUGUGCACAAUGCUCCUUGCAUGUUGAAAAAAAAAAAAAAAAUGGAGACCACCCAUAAUUGGUGUUGGUUUGCUUUCUUAGCCACAAGUGUUAUCUGAAAAUAUAGCUGGUUUUUGUUACUCUUUCUGGCGGUGCGUUUUAGAUGCAUAAAAAUUAUGAUGGAUGUGCAUGUUCAGUGUGAUUGCAGGAACGAGAAACUUUACUAGAAGAUCCUUUGCAAGAGAUGCAAGUGCUUGCCCAUUUCAUGAAAAAAAAAAAGGCUUUGUUUUCAUUGUAUACAGUAAGCUAAGGGUCAGGCGGACUUGAUCACAAAAGCAAAGAGAGAAAUUGGUUGACAGAGAAAUGCAAAGCCUGCAGACCACAUCGUAACUGUCUAGCGCAUAGACAACACCUGCACGUUGGCCAACAGCAUGGGAAAGGAGAAGGGAUGGAAAGAUGAAAGAGAUUGCCAUGAAGCACAUGUGGUGAAAAGGAGAAUGAAGCAAGAAUUGGUAGCAUUCAGAAAAAGCUAGAUAUUCUUGAGAAAACUGAAACAUUGGACAAAUAAUAGCAACCUUUAUCAAGUCUUACUGCCGUAUUCAGCAAUACAUCUUGAAGCUCAUGCUUGACUUGAUAUAAAUGACGUAUGGUGUGAAUGUGCCCAAGAUG
Dermacentor andersoni is the source of this 3317-nucleotide non-coding RNA. The record is from RefSeq and is a predicted model, not a curated record. NCBI's taxonomy places the organism in Eukaryota, Metazoa, Arthropoda, Arachnida, Ixodida, Ixodidae.